Molecule: transfer RNA, 68 nt
Filed under: Camelus bactrianus (Bactrian camel)
Lineage: Eukaryota; Metazoa; Chordata; Mammalia; Artiodactyla; Camelidae
Also listed under: 2 other names
Rfam family: tRNA
About the family: Transfer RNA (tRNA) molecules are approximately 80 nucleotides in length. Their secondary structure includes four short double-helical elements and three loops (D, anti-codon, and T loops). Further hydrogen bonds mediate the characteristic L-shaped molecular structure. tRNAs have two regions of fundamental functional importance: the anti-codon, which is responsible for specific mRNA codon recognition, and the 3' end, to which the tRNAs corresponding amino acid is attached (by aminoacyl-tRNA synthetases). tRNAs cope with the degeneracy of the genetic code in two manners: having more than one tRNA (with a specific anti-codon) for a particular amino acid; and 'wobble' base-pairing, i.e. permitting non-standard base-pairing at the 3rd anti-codon position.
Source: Rfam by way of RNAcentral
GAGGGUAUAGCUUAAGUGGUAAAGCUCAUGCAUGCAUGAGGUCCUGGGUUCAAUCCCCAGUACCUCCU